RNAcentral lists this ribosomal RNA (497 nucleotides) under uncultured bacterium. Its description in RNAcentral is "partial 16S ribosomal RNA". It matches the Rfam family "Bacterial small subunit ribosomal RNA", at positions 28 to 507 of the family's 1533-position model. The record is from RNAcentral.
GAUGAACGCUGGCGGCGUGCCUAAUACAUGCAAGUCGAGCGAACGGACGAGAAGCUUGCUUUUCUGAUGUUAGCGGCGGACGGGUGAGUAACACGUGGAUAACCUACCUAUAAGACUGGGAUAACUUCGGGAAACCGGAGCUAAUACCGGAUAAUAUUUUGAACCGCAUGGUUCAUAAGUGAAAGACGGUCUUGCUGUCACUUAUAGAUGGAUCCGCGCUGCAUUAGCUAGUUGGUAAGGUAACGGCUUACCAAGGCAACGAUGCAUAGCCGCCCUGAGAGGGUGAUCGGCCACACUGGAACUGAGACACGGUCCAGACUCCUACGGGAGGCAGCAGUAGGGAAUCUUCCGCAAAGGGCGAAAGCCUGACGGAGCAACGCCGCGUGAGUGAUGAAGGUCUUCGGAUCGUAAAACUCUGUUAUUAGGGAAGAACAUAUGUGUAAGUAACUGUGCACAUCUUGACGGUACCUAAUCAGAAAGCCACGGCUAACUACGUG